Molecule: long non-coding RNA, 877 nt
Organism: Drosophila ananassae
Lineage: Eukaryota; Metazoa; Arthropoda; Insecta; Diptera; Drosophilidae
Exons: 4
Source: RefSeq, a predicted model, not a curated record
GCUGCCGUCGUGAUGUUGCCACUGCUUCUGCUUCUGUUUCUGCUGCUGCUGCUGCUGUUGCUGUUGCUGCAGUGCGUGGUUCUAAUUGACAGUUUUCGAGAACAACUUGUUGAGUUUAUUGUUAUCUUAAUAGGGUGCUCAUCUCCAACUUGCCAUCUCUGUCUCAGUCCCUCAGCUUUAUCUCUUUCCCUCGCCCGCGAUAUUGGAGGAUAAUGCCCCUGCCUCCCACGCCCCCGCCACGGGAGAGGGGAGCAGCGUCUCCCCCUCGCCACUCCUUCGAAGUGGAAAUUCCGUGGCUUAUUUGAUGAACGGACAGUGGAGAGUGUGUGGAAAGCUGUUUCCUAUAUAAAAAGAUACAGACAAAGGAGAUCGCUUUCAGUGAUGUCACCGACGGUUACGGAUUAUAGCGAAGUAACGAAACGAAACAAACAAUUUAUCGCAUUUAGUUCAACAAAAAUGUUUGUAUUGCUUUCUUAUCGCCAAAACCUCUCAGUUCGAGGAUAAACAUCACCAACAAACUGAGGAAAAUAAAAAAAACAGUUGUCGAGAAAAACAAAAACAGUUGGGACUUGAGAAAUAUUUUUAAAAUCAUUCACUGAAACUCCAAAGGUCACUGAAGAAAGCGUGACCUGCGUGAUCUGUGCGAAUUAAAUUAAAUAAAAUAUUAUUUAAAAAUAUAUAGCGUCUCUUCAGAUCGAAGAACGUGUUCAAGAGCAAGGUCUUGCUUUAAAAUUCAAUGCGAAUGUUUUUUAAUUAUGCUGUCCAUUUACAAGUUUAUUUAUGAGUUAUUAAAAAAUAGUAUUUAUUAAUUCAUAAGCCAUACAAUAAAAAAAAUGUUUCUUUUAGAAAAAAAAAAAAAGUUUUAAAGGAAAAUUGU